UACGGAGGGUGCAAGCGUUAUCCGGAUUUACUGGGUUUAAAGGGUGCGUAGGCGGCUUGAUAAGUCAGUGGUGAAAGCCCAGAGCUCAACUCUGGAAUUGCCUUUGAUACUGUCAGGCUUGAGUAUGGUUGAAGUAGGCGGAAUGUAGCAUGUAGCGGUGAAAUGCUUAGAUAUGCUACAGAACACCGAUUGCGAAGGCAGCUUGCUAAGCCAUUACUGACGCUGAGUCGCGAAAGCGUGGGGAGCGAACAGG
RNAcentral lists this ribosomal RNA (253 nucleotides) under uncultured bacterium. Its description in RNAcentral is "partial 16S ribosomal RNA". It matches the Rfam family "Bacterial small subunit ribosomal RNA", at positions 524 to 776 of the family's 1533-position model. The record is from RNAcentral.